UUUGCCGGAUUAGCUGAGAGGUGGUGCAUGGCCGUCGUCAGUUCGUACUGUGAAGCAUCCUGUUAAGUCAGGCAACGAGCGAGACCCACGCCCACAGUUGCCAGCGUACUCUCUGGAGUGACGGGUACACUGUGGGGACCGCCGCUGCUAAAGCGGAGGAAGGAAUGGGCAACGGUAGGUCAGUAUGCCCCGAAUAUCCCGGGCUACACGCGAGCUACAAUGGUUGGUACAAUGGGUAUCUACCCCGAAAGGGGACGGGAAUCUCCUAAAACCAAUCUUAGUUCGGAUUGAGGGCUGCAACUCGCCCUCAUGAAGCUGGAAUCCGUAGUAAUCGCGUUUCAACAGAACGCGGUGAAUACGUCCCUGCUCCUU
Molecule: ribosomal RNA, 372 nt
Filed under: uncultured Methanosaeta sp.
Lineage: Archaea; Methanobacteriati; Methanobacteriota; Methanomicrobia; Methanotrichales; Methanotrichaceae
Description: bacterial SSU rRNA
Rfam family: Archaeal small subunit ribosomal RNA
Source: RNAcentral